Molecule: ribosomal RNA, 522 nt
Filed under: uncultured bacterium
Lineage: Bacteria
Description: bacterial SSU rRNA
Rfam family: Bacterial small subunit ribosomal RNA
Source: RNAcentral
UGGACGAAAGUCUGACGGAGCAACGCCGCGUGAGUGAAGAAGGUUUUCGGAUCGUAAAACUCUGUUUUCAGGGACGAAUGUGUGGAUUGUAAAUAAUGAUCCAUAAUGACGGUACCUGACAAGAAGGCCACGGCUAACUACGUGCCAGCAGCCGCGGUAAUACGUAGGUGGCAAGCGUUGUCCGGAAUUAUUGGGCGUAAAGCGCGCGCAGGUGGGAUAAUCAGUCUGAUGUUAAAGUUCGGGGCUUAACCCCGUGAAGCAUUGGAUACUGUUAUUCUUGAGUGCAGGAGAGGAAAGUGGAAUUCCUAGUGUAGCGGUGAAAUGCGUAGAUAUUAGGAGGAACACCAGUGGCGAAGGCGACUUUCUGGACUGUGUCUGACACUGAGGCGCGAAAGCCAGGGUAGUGAACGGGAUUAGAUACCCCGGUAAUCCUGGCCGUAAACGAUGGGUACUAGGUGUUGGGGGUAUCGACCCCUCCAGUGCCGGAGUUAACGCAAUAAGUACCCCGCCUGGGGAGUACGG